Small nuclear RNA from Lemur catta (Ring-tailed lemur), 141 nucleotides. RefSeq annotates it as U4 spliceosomal RNA. NCBI's taxonomy places the organism in Eukaryota, Metazoa, Chordata, Mammalia, Primates, Lemuridae. The record is from RefSeq and is a predicted model, not a curated record. The transcript has a single exon.
GUCUUUCCACAGCGUCAGUAUCAUAGCCAAUGAGGUUUAUCUGAGGCCAGAUUAUUGCUAAUUGAAAACCUUUCCCAAUACUCCACAGUGACAACUUGCAAUAUAGAUGGCAUUGGCAAUUUUUAACAGUCUCUAUAGAGG